UGAAAUUGUUUUCAAAUGUCGCCUAUCCUGAACCCAUCGUUGUAAAUAGUUUACUUGGACAGAUUUUACGAGCUGUAUCCCGGACGUUACUUCACUUUUGCCAAAAACAUUUUCUAUUACGUACUAUUCCGCAUUCUUCGCUUUUGUUGUUUUUCCCGUUGGUAGCGUCAUUGUGACUGCUUCUGCCAUCCGAAGUUGCCUUUCGCAGAAGAUAUUUUCUCCAGGGUUCACCGUUCAAACUGAAUGGUGCUGGUGCUUACUUCAGUAACGGCCCCAUCAGGAAGAAAUACUGCAGUUACUUCUGGUGGAAAAUUGGUUAAGCUAAAAGCAACAUACACACCUUCGUGCGUGACUAUGGGAUGUAUGGCAAGCGUGCUGAGAAAAUGGACGGCUGUAAAUUAGCCUCUGCAGUCUCCUCCCCCGCUCAUUUAGCAAAAGUUCACUUCGACAUAGUUCCGAAUUCUCUUCAUGGAUGCAUUUAAAAAAAUCCCAUCACACAAUUGUAGCUAAAAUUACGAUGAGCCUCGAUUCGCUCUUCCUUGGCCAGACGAACACUCACAAAAAAUUAGUACAACGUAAUGUGUGGCGAAAAGUAACCAACGAGGAAAUGUAUUACGGCCCAUAUUUAUGACCAUAAUACGGAAGAGGGUACCUUUAUCAUCUCCAAGCUACGCUACCGGAUAGAGUACAUAACAUUUAGACAAAUAUACGAGUGUAAAAAUUCGCUGAGAAAAUGCCGAACCACACGAUUAAAUUACUUCAGCGGUAGGAACAAGCAGGAUAUGAAUGGAUAGAAUGUGGCUGUUGGCCUGUCGAGGAAUAUCUUUGGGAUAUUCACUUAUUUAUGUAUGAGUACGUGUUUGGAAAGGAUGCGUUAAAGUAAUCUUUUCAGUGCUUGAAAAUUUAUUGGGUCUGUAGCGCAGAGAAGGGAAGGUAGUUACAGUAAUAAGUAGUGGAUUUAUAUUCGCCGAGCUGGCUCGAUUUCAAGUCCUUUAGAGGAUAUGAGUGGUAGUAAAUAAGCUCAGAAACUUAUGCAGAAGCGAUAAAUUUGGGUUGAAAAUAUUUCCUUUGCUUUAAUGGUAUUCGUAGUAUGAGAAGGGAAGGUAUUUGAAGACCCAGGGAAUAACAAUAUAUGCUAUUGGUGUGAAAAGGAAGGGAGGGGGGAGUUUCUAGCGUCCUAAAUCUUAUCACUAGCUCCUUGCAUUUUCUAUACAUUUCAUGGGAAUAAAUCGAUUUAGUAAAAUAGAAUUGAUGUAUUACAUUUGUUGUAUAUUGAGGUGCUCUGCGUAAUGGCUAGUGAACGGAUGUUGAUUCAAGGUUAAAGUUUUGGACCACAAAUCAACUAAAUUAUG
Molecule: long non-coding RNA, 1352 nt
Organism: Hermetia illucens (black soldier fly)
Lineage: Eukaryota; Metazoa; Arthropoda; Insecta; Diptera; Stratiomyidae
Exons: 3
Source: RefSeq, a predicted model, not a curated record